GCACCUGUCAAGCCAGUGCCUGAUGGGUCUGGCAAUGCCAGCAGGCUGAGACUGCUCUAAGCAGGUGACAUCUGGGGAUCAGCACAUGCAAAGAGUGAAGGUGUGUAUGUGUCCUUUGAUGUGGCCACUUGUUCUUGGGGGAUUCUUGAUGGCAGGAGAUAUGGCUUUGCAGCAUCAGGACAGGAUGGCCUGGGGAAAGGGUUUGGUAGCAAGUAGGCUAGGGCCUUCUGCAGUCGGAGAGCCUAGUACUGCUGGGUCUACUUUGGCAGGGUCAUGAGCAUGGGUCUCUCAGCAGGUGCUUGCUUGGAGAUGAUGGGUGCUCUGUUCUCUUCCAAAGCUGCAUGGAGGAGCUGGGGAAGGGAGCCCAUGGACCAACAGAGUUGGCACCUCCUGUGCCCAGAACGAGCUCAUCUACUGCACAGCUGCCGCUGAGCUGGCCCCGCCUGGGGCAGCCCCCAGGCAGCCGGAAGGAGCCGGGAGGAGCUGGAGACCCCCCCGCAGCUGGCCCUGGGGCUGAUCACCCCAAGAAUCCCCUGAGCUAAGCCACGUCUCUGCAGCAACGGAGCAGCCACUCAGGAUUCACCCUGUGCCUGCACCCAGGCCGGUCAGUGCCUGCCCUGCCCCCAGGCAGGGGCUGUCAGCACUGCUGCCGUGCAGCGCAUGGACUUUGAUGCCCACUCCUUGUUCUGCUGCCCACCUGCAUGAACCGCCUCAAACUGCAGUUGCUCCCUGCUCCCCUUU
RNAcentral lists this long non-coding RNA (741 nucleotides) under Gallus gallus (chicken). RNAcentral describes it as "long non-coding RNA NONGGAT006544". Lineage: Eukaryota; Metazoa; Chordata; Aves; Galliformes; Phasianidae. The record is from RNAcentral.